GGUCCCGUAGCUCAGCUGGAUAGAGCAUCUUCCUUCUAAGAAGGCGGUCAUUGGUUCGAAUCCAAUCGGGAUCACAA
This 77-nucleotide transfer RNA is filed under the name Spirosoma linguale DSM 74. Its description in RNAcentral is "tRNA-Arg". It matches the Rfam family "tRNA". From Rfam's summary of the family: Transfer RNA (tRNA) molecules are approximately 80 nucleotides in length. Their secondary structure includes four short double-helical elements and three loops (D, anti-codon, and T loops). The record is from RNAcentral. Lineage: Bacteria; Pseudomonadati; Bacteroidota; Cytophagia; Cytophagales; Cytophagaceae.